UUAUUUGUGGAUCAGAAUUUGUCAAUGUCUGUGCAAGAUAAUGAGAGCAACCGAGAACCUUCAGAUCCUAGUCAGUGUGAUGCUAACAAUAUGAAGCAUUUUGACUUGAAUAAUCCCAAACUGUCGGUCCCUGAUAAUAGACAGCUGUUAGAGCAGGAGAGCAUCAUGAAGACUCAGCCCCAACAUGAGUUUCUGGAUUUCAUAUCAAUUGCUUCAAGGACACAUGGGACAUCAUGGUCUAGUUAGAGUUAUAGUUGGCCUGAGUUUUCUCUUCAGUGGAUGUAUUUAUAUAAAUGCUGAACUGAAUUGGUUGUAUGGUUUUCCCCUAAAUCAAAAUGGAAUGUUCAUGCUGUCACCUUCACCAGCCCAAGGCAAGAUGGAACUAGUAGCAAAAAUAGCAGACCACAAACAAUGAGAUCAAAGAUGAUGCAGUCACAAAGGCUGAUUCUCAUGAAAAGAAACCCAAGAAGAUGAUGGUGGAAGCA
RNAcentral lists this small RNA (485 nucleotides) under Pongo abelii (Sumatran orangutan). RNAcentral's name for it is "processed transcript". The record is from RNAcentral. Lineage: Eukaryota; Metazoa; Chordata; Mammalia; Primates; Hominidae.